GGGGUUGUGGCUCAGCGGUAGAGCACUCGCCUAGCACGUGAGAGGCCUUGGGUUCAAUCCUCAGCACCA
RNAcentral lists this transfer RNA (69 nucleotides) under Urocitellus parryii (Arctic ground squirrel). RNAcentral's name for it is "Spermophilus parryii (Arctic ground squirrel) tRNA". It matches the Rfam family "tRNA". From Rfam's summary of the family: Transfer RNA (tRNA) molecules are approximately 80 nucleotides in length. Their secondary structure includes four short double-helical elements and three loops (D, anti-codon, and T loops). Lineage: Eukaryota; Metazoa; Chordata; Mammalia; Rodentia; Sciuridae. RNAcentral also lists the same sequence under 2 other names. The record is from Rfam by way of RNAcentral.